AGAAAAUCAAACACUGGUUUUUAUACUGGUUUGGCCAACAAUGCCUACAUCCAGUGUCCUUCCAACUCAGGAAGCAAAUGCACUAUAAUGGUUGCGGUUUUUACAACAAGGAAUUUAUAGAAGCACCACGCAAAAAUAUAAAUCUCCUAUCUAGCCCAAAACCAAAUAUAGUUGCACACACAAAAACCAGAAUUGUAGCAAGAAUCCUUUCUUCUGCAAUCUGCACCCACGUUGAACAAUCCUCAACGUGUAACCAACACUCUUCACAGGAUGCCAAGCCUAUCACAACAAACUUCACAGGUUGCCAAGCCUAUCACAACAGACUUCACAGGUUUCC
Molecule: long non-coding RNA, 337 nt
Filed under: Vigna radiata
Lineage: Eukaryota; Viridiplantae; Streptophyta; Magnoliopsida; Fabales; Fabaceae
Description: long non-coding RNA (VRAD_LNC016322)
Source: RNAcentral